Molecule: non-coding RNA, 112 nt
Organism: Acanthosepion pharaonis
Lineage: Eukaryota; Metazoa; Mollusca; Cephalopoda; Sepiida; Sepiidae
Source: the annotation of a GenBank genome assembly
UUACGGCCAUAUCACGUUCGAACACCGGUUCUCGACCGAUCAGCGAAAUUAAGCAAAGUCGAACUGGUCAGUACCUGAAUGGGUGACCACUCGGAAAUAUCAGAUGCUGAAA